This 372-nucleotide ribosomal RNA is filed under the name uncultured organism. RNAcentral's name for it is "bacterial SSU rRNA". It matches the Rfam family "Bacterial small subunit ribosomal RNA", at positions 526 to 896 of the family's 1533-position model. The record is from RNAcentral.
CAGAGGGUGCAAGCGUUGUUCGGAAUUACUGGGCGUAAAGGGCGCGUAGGCGGCCGCCUAAGUCAGACGUGAAAUCCCUCGGCUCAACCGGGGAACUGCGUCUGAUACUGGGUGGCUUGAAUCCGGGAGAGGGAUGCGGAAUUCCAGGUGUAGCGGUGAAAUGCGUAGAUAUCUGGAGGAACACCGGUGGCGAAGGCGGCAUCCUGGACCGGCAUUGACGCUGAGGCGCGAAAGCCAGGGGAGCAAACGGGAUUAGAUACCCCGGUAGUCCUGGCCCUAAACGAUGAGUGCUUGGUGUGGCGGGUAUCGAUCCCUGCCGUGCCGAAGCUAACGCAUUAAGCACUCCGCCUGGGGAGUACGGUCGCAAGGCUG